GCGCAGGACAGCAGCGAUCCUGAGGGGGAGCUUCUGGAGGUGAGUGCAGCAGGAGUUUAAUAGCUCAAAGUAGAGAAGUCAUUAAGGCAGCAGAUUACAGCGGCAGUAACAGUGGCACUUGCUUUGCUCCUAUAGAGUAAUUAACCAGUUUGGGUUUGAGACUGAAAGUUCUCUUUUUUAGAUUUAUAUUUUAGCACAUGUACAUAUCUUUUAAUUGGCUUGUAAACAAUGACGAUGGAUAAAUAAAAUCUUUUUUUUUUCAAGCAUCGGUAAAGAUUAUGGUAAUGAGACAGAUAAAGUCAGUAUCAUUACCCCAAAGAUUUAUCAGCCCUCUGUUUCACAUGGAAGCAGGAAGGGUGGUUGAGGAGGGGAUAAGGAGAGAGGAGGUGAAGGCAGCUGGCCCACGCGCUGGAAGCAACCGGAUAUUUGGCUCGAUUUAUCCUGGCUGGGAGCCUCAGCAGUGCUGCACUAACCACAUGUCCUUCUUGCUCACCUGACAUGGCUCAUUCCUCCAUCAGCAUGACACCUACAUUCCACCAUGGGGCCUCUGUAUCUUUCUUCCUACACACAUACGGAUUAAAAAUAUAAAGAAAAGUACUGGCACUUUUAGAAGUAACUGCACUCAUUGGAUUAAACGCUUCAGGGCAAAGUUUUGUACUAUGUGCAUUCUGCUGGUAACCCUGCAACAUAAAGAAGGAGGUUAUGGUUCAAGGCACUGUUUGGCACAGUGCUUGGCAGCAAGGAAUGAAAUCACCGGCAUCUUAUAGUUCUAUUUUUUAUAUUUGGUAUGUGGAUUUGAACCCACAAUCACAGGGAUCUGCAUUGUCAUUGUUGGUAUUUCUCUGUCUGUUUGGUUCCUGAUUUACUGAUCCUAUCAGUUCUUUAGUUUUUAGCAUGGCAAUUCUAACCAAGGGUAGGAUUUAUUCUGAAUGGGCUCCAGGAUGGCCAAAGGUUUCAUAUUAAACUGACCCCCGUCUUAUUAUAUAAUACUAAUAUAUUAAUGCCUGGUACCUCAGUUUCCAAGCAGAACAUCACCUUGAGCGCUAUACUCACCUAUUUGAAUGCUGUUUCCUUCGUACUGUUUGUAUUCACAGAUACCAUCACCGAUUUUAGUAAUUAAUUUCUCCACCAGUCUUAGACUGCCGUCUUUUGAAUAUAGGCAAUAAAUGUUCUGUUCUUUUUAAAGAUGGAUGAAGUUUAAAUCUGUGGUCUGUAAGAAAGGAUGGGAAAUUACAGAUGUGAUACUUAAGAUGGGCAAUUUACUAGGAUUAAAGGUGAAAGAUGUGUUUUACUGAAAAGUAUCACAAUACUGUAUUAGCUAAGGUGCUGCCUUUGAAUCUGGAUCUUAAAUCUGAGUUAGUUUUAUUCAGAAUUGUUGAAACAUAGUCUGCAUCUUCUUUUAACUAAUGAAAAUCAGAGAAUUUUGCAUAGGCUAAUGUCAUUCGCACGUAAUGACAUGCAACCAAGCAUAUUGCUGUGUUGCCCGCACGACCAGCACAUUUUAUGUUUUGUUUUAUUGCUUAAUUUUAGCUCCUGCGUUUUAAAUUCAUUUUGUGUUUGUUUUUUUCCCCCCAAUUUUUUCUGUCAGCCAAAGCUCC
Molecule: long non-coding RNA, 1598 nt
Organism: Oryzias sinensis (Chinese medaka)
Lineage: Eukaryota; Metazoa; Chordata; Actinopteri; Beloniformes; Adrianichthyidae
Source: Ensembl